This 1261-nucleotide ribosomal RNA is filed under the name uncultured bacterium. RNAcentral's name for it is "bacterial SSU rRNA". It matches the Rfam family "Bacterial small subunit ribosomal RNA", at positions 56 to 1331 of the family's 1533-position model. The record is from RNAcentral.
UGCAGUCGAACGGUGAAGCCCAGCUUGCUGGGUGGAUCAGUGGCGAACGGGUGAGUAACACGUGAGCAACCUGCCCUCCACUUCGGGAUAAGCCUUGGAAACGGGGUCUAAUACCGGAUAUGAGCUCGCAUCGCAUGGUGUGGGUUGGAAAGUUUUUCGGUGGGGGAUGGGCUCGCGGCCUAUCAGCUUGUUGGUGGGGUGAUGGCCUACCAAAGCGUCGACGGGUAGCCGGCCUGAGAGGGCGACCGGCCACACUGGGACUGAGACACGGCCCAGACUCCUACGGGAGGCAGCAGUGGGGAAUAUUGCACAAUGGGCGCAAGCCUGAUGCAGCGACGCCGCGUGAGGGAUGACGGCCUUCGGGUUGUAAACCUCUUUCAGCAGGGAAGAAGCGCAAGUGACGGUACCUGCAGAAGAAGCGCCGGCUAACUACGUGCCAGCAGCCGCGGUAAUACGUAGGGCGCAAGCGUUGUCCGGAAUUAUUGGGCGUAAAGAGCUCGUAGGCGGUCUGUCGCGUCUGGUGUGAAAUCCCGAGGCUCAACCUCGGGCUUGCAUCGGGUACGGGCAGACUAGAGUGCGGUAGGGGAGACUGGAAUUCCUGGUGUAGCGGUGGAAUGCGCAGAUAUCAGGAGGAACACCGAUGGCGAAGGCAGGUCUCUGGGCCGCAACUGACGCUGAGGAGCGAAAGCAUGGGGAGCGAACAGGAUUAGAUACCCUGGUAGUCCAUGCCGUAAACGUUGGGCACUAGGUGUGGGGCUCAUUCCACGAGUUCCGUGCCGCAGCUAACGCAUUAAGUGCCCCGCCUGGGGAGUACGGCCGCAAGGCUAAAACUCAAAGGAAUUGACGGGGGCCCGCACAAGCGGCGGAGCAUGCGGAUUAAUUCGAUGCAACGCGAAGAACCUUACCAAGGCUUGACAUGUACGAGAAAGCCCCCGAGACGGGGUUCUCUUUGGACACUCGUACACAGGUGGUGCAUGGUUGUCGUCAGCUCGUGUCGUGAGAUGUUGGGUUAAGUCCCGCAACGAGCGCAACCCUCGUCCUAUGUUGCCAGCGGGUUAUGCCGGGGACUCAUGGGAGACUGCCGGGGUCAACUCGGAGGAAGGUGGGGAUGACGUCAAAUCAUCAUGCCCCUUAUGUCUUGGGCUUCACGCAUGCUACAAUGGCCGGUACAGAGGGCUGCGAUACCGUAAGGUGGAGCGAAUCCCAAAAAGCCGGUCUCAGUUCGGAUUGGGGUCUGCAACUCGACCCCAUGAAGUCGGAG